Molecule: ribosomal RNA, 447 nt
Filed under: uncultured archaeon
Lineage: Archaea
Description: bacterial SSU rRNA
Rfam family: Archaeal small subunit ribosomal RNA
Source: RNAcentral
ACCUCGAGUGCCAGGUUACAAAUCUGGCUGUCGAGAUGCCUAAAAGGCAUUUCAUAGCAAGGGCCGGGCAAGACCGGUGCCAGCCGCCGCGGUAACACCGGCGGCUCGAGUGGUAACCGUUAUUAUUGGGUCUAAAGGGUCUGUAGCCGGCCGGAUAAGUCUCUUGAGAAAUCUGGCAGCUUAACUGUCAGGCUUUCAGGAGAUACUGUCUGGCUCGAGGCCGGGAGAGGUGAGAGGUACUUCAGGGGUAGGGGUGAAAUCUUGUAAUCCUUGAAGGACCACCAGUGGCGAAGGCGUCUCACCAGAACGGACCUGACGGCAAGGGACGAAAGCUAGGGGCACGAACCGGAUUAGAUACCCGGGUAGUCCUAGCCGUAAACGAUACUCGCUAGGUGUCGGCCACGGUGCGACCGUUGUCGGUGCCGUAGGGAAGCCGUGAAGCGAGCC